Molecule: ribosomal RNA, 436 nt
Filed under: uncultured bacterium
Lineage: Bacteria
Description: partial 16S ribosomal RNA
Rfam family: Bacterial small subunit ribosomal RNA
Source: RNAcentral
AGCGAACGCUGGCGGCAGGCUUAACACAUGCAAGUCGAGCGGGCAUCCUUGUGGUGUCAGCGGCAGACGGGUGAGUAACGCGUGGGAACGUGCCCUUCGGUUCGCAAUAACUCAGGGAAACUUGAGCUAAUACCGGAUACGCCCUUUUGGGGGAAGGUUUACUGCCGAAGGAUCGGCGCGCGUCUGCUUAGCUAGUGGGUGAGGUUAUGGCUCACCAAGGCGACGAUCAGGAGCUGGUCUGAGAGGAUGAUCAGCCACACUGGGACUGAGACACGGACCAGAAUCCUACGGGAGGGAGGAGUGGGGAAUAUUGGACAAGGGGGGCAAACCUGAUCCAGCCAUGCCGGGUGAGUGAUGACGGCCUUAGGGUUGUAAAGCUGUUUUCUCCGGGACGAUAAUGACGGUACCGGAGGAAUAAGCCCCGGCUAACUUCGUG